RNAcentral lists this ribosomal RNA (497 nucleotides) under uncultured bacterium. RNAcentral's name for it is "partial 16S ribosomal RNA". It matches the Rfam family "Bacterial small subunit ribosomal RNA", at positions 28 to 507 of the family's 1533-position model. The record is from RNAcentral.
GAUGAACGCUGGCGGCGUGCCUAAUACAUGCAAGUCGAGCGAACGGACGAUAAGCUUGCUUCUCUGAUGUUAGCGGCGGACGGGUGGGUAACACGUGGAUAACCUACCUAUAAGACUGGGAUAACUUCGGGAAACCGGAGCUAAUACCGGAUAAUAUUUUGAACCGCAGGGUUCAAAAGUGAAAGACGGUCUUGCUGUCACUUAGAGAUGGAGCCGCGCUGCAUUAGCUAGUUGGUAAGGUAACGGCUUACCAAGGCAACGAUGCAUAGCCGACCUGAGAGGGUGAUCGGCCACACUGGAACUGAGACACGGUCCAGACUCCUACGGGAGGCAGCAGUAGGGAAUCUUCCGCAAUGGGCGAAAGCCUGACGGAGCAACGCCGCGUGAGUGAUGAAGGUCUUCGGAUCGUAAAGCUCUGUUGUUAGGGAAGAACAUAUGUGUAAGUAACUGUGCACAUCUUGACGGUACCUAAUCAGAAAGCCACGGCUAACUACGUG